RNAcentral lists this ribosomal RNA (769 nucleotides) under Vibrio sp. YASM-26. RNAcentral describes it as "bacterial SSU rRNA". It matches the Rfam family "Bacterial small subunit ribosomal RNA", at positions 359 to 1121 of the family's 1533-position model. The record is from RNAcentral. Lineage: Bacteria; Pseudomonadati; Pseudomonadota; Gammaproteobacteria; Vibrionales; Vibrionaceae.
AAUGCCUCGCCAUGGGCGCAGCCUGAUGCAGCCAUGCCGCGUGUAUGAAGAAGGCCUUCGGGUUGUAAAGUACUUUCAGUCGUGAGGAAGGCGGCGUCGUUAAUAGCGGCGUUGUUUGACGUUAGCGACAGAAGAAGCACCGGCUAACUCCGUGCCAGCAGCCGCGGUAAUACGGAGGGUGCGAGCGUUAAUCGGAAUUACUGGGCGUAAAGCGCAUGCAGGUGGUUUGUUAAGUCAGAUGUGAAAGCCCGGGGCUCAACCUCGGAAUAGCAUUUGAAACUGGCAGACUAGAGUACUGUAGAGGGGGGUAGAAUUUCAGGUGUAGCGGUGAAAUGCGUAGAGAUCUGAAGGAAUACCGGUGGCGAAGGCGGCCCCCUGGACAGAUACUGACACUCAGAUGCGAAAGCGUGGGGAGCAAACAGGAUUAGAUACCCUGGUAGUCCACGCCGUAAACGAUGUCUACUUGGAGGUUGUGGCCUUGAGCCGUGGCUUUCGGAGCUAACGCGUUAAGUAGACCGCCUGGGGAGUACGGUCGCAAGAUUAAAACUCAAAUGAAUUGACGGGGGCCCGCACAAGCGGUGGAGCAUGUGGUUUAAUUCGAUGCAACGCGAAGAACCUUACCUACUCUUGACAUCCAGAGAACUUUCCAGAGAUGGAUUGGUGCCUUCGGGAACUCUGAGACAGGUGCUGCAUGGCUGUCGUCAGCUCGUGUUGUAAAAUGUUGGGUUAAGUCCCGCAACGAGCGCAACCCUUUAUCCUUGUUUGCCAG